Molecule: unclassified non-coding RNA, 267 nt
Filed under: plant metagenome
Description: partial contains small subunit ribosomal RNA, internal transcribed spacer 1, and 5.8S ribosomal RNA
Rfam family: Eukaryotic small subunit ribosomal RNA (bases 1-54)
Source: RNAcentral
GAAAGUAAAAGUCUUAACAAGGUCUCCGUUGGUGAACCAGCGGAGGGAUCAUUACCGAGUUUACAACUCCCAAACCCAAUGUGAACAUACCUUCAGUUGCUUCGGCGGACUCGCCCCAGCGUCCGGACGGCCCUGUGCCGUCCGCGGCCUGGAGCCAGGCGGCCGCCGGAGGCCACAAACUCUCUCUGUAUUGUCCAGUCUCUUCUGAAUCCGCCGCAAGGCACUAUAAAUGAAUCAAAACUUUCAACAACGGAUCUCUUGGUUCUG